AUUCUAAUCUUACACAUAAGUUUCUGAAGCUAUAUAAAGUCACCAGAUAGUAAGCUGAGUGAAUGUAGAAACACGUCAUGGUACUGAAGGGCUUAAAUGCAAAACACUCAACGUACGAAGAUAACUGGAACUUGAAUCAAACAAUAUAGAGGAAAAAAAUACAGAAUAAGGAAAAAAAACAAGAUAUUUUGUCCUUUAGCGGUGGUGUGUUGAGGCGCGGCGCUCCCUCCAUCCCUCCAGACAGACGCCCGGUACAAGAGUGGAGGUGCUGGCUGGCUUGGUUGACCUGCUUCCCUCGCCUCCCAUCCCUCCCCGCCUCUCGUUCAGCGCCACCAAACACUUCAGGACACGACGGGCUGCGGGAAUCCUCUAGCUUUGCAUGUGAGUGUUACUGAGUUGCCUUCCUCCACUAUUGUCUCCCCCGAGGUGGCGUUGUCUACGAUCUCAGGCGGCACCACGACCUCCAGACUAGAAGAACGUUACUCUAUUACCAAAGGACACAGACAACAACAGACACCACCACCACCACCACCACCACCACCACCACCGCCACGCUCUACUGGAAAGGGAAACAGGAGUGACUAUUGUGUUUUGUCUUUGAGAGGCGGAAAAAAAAAAUUGAAAAAGUAAAAUAAAUAAAUAAAAAAAAAAUAAAUCAAUAAAAUAAUAAAUGAAAGAAAAACGAACAAACAGCAAAUAAGGAAACUGUUACUGUUGUGUUUUGUCUUUGAGAGGAGAAAAAAAAAUAGAAAAAAUAAAUAAAGUGAAUAAAUAAAUGAAACAAGUAAAUAAACAAAUAGAUAAACGAAAGAA
Portunus trituberculatus (swimming crab) is the source of this 813-nucleotide long non-coding RNA. RefSeq lists it as uncharacterized. Lineage: Eukaryota; Metazoa; Arthropoda; Malacostraca; Decapoda; Portunidae. The record is from RefSeq and is a predicted model, not a curated record. The transcript has 4 exons.